Molecule: ribosomal RNA, 440 nt
Filed under: uncultured bacterium
Lineage: Bacteria
Description: bacterial SSU rRNA
Rfam family: Bacterial small subunit ribosomal RNA
Source: RNAcentral
CCUACGGGUGGCUGCAGUAGGGAAUAUUAGAAAUGGACGAAAGUCUGAUCUAGCAACACCGCGUGUGCGAAGAAGGCCUUCGGGUUGUAAAGCACUUUUUGGAAGGAUUAGGAAGGAAUGUACUUCCAGAAUAAGUCUCGGCUAACUACGUGCCAGCAGCCGCGGUAACACGUAGGAGGCAAACGUUAUCCGGAUUUACUGGGCGUAAAGCGCGUGUAGGUGGUUCUGUAAGUAGGGCGUGAAAGCUCCUGGCUCAACUGGGAGAGGCCGUUCUAAACUGCAGAGCUAGAGGAUGGUAGAGGGAGGUGGAAUUCCGGGUGUAGCGGUGGAAUGCGCAGAUAUCCGGAGGAACACCAGUGGCGAAAGCGGCCUCCUGGACCAUUCCUGACACUCAGACGCGAAAGCUAGGGUAGCAAACGGGAUUAGAUACCCUAGUAGUC